ACCCUUAUUGAACUCGGAGUGCGAGUUGAGCCCAUCCUCACAACAUCAAACAAAAAGUAGAAGAAGAAACUCAACGAAUAGCUGGUGGAUUCUAGAACUUUCUGUAAAUGCAGCAGGUGCCAUUUUGUUUUAUCAAUGGACGGAGAUGGAUUACGAACUUGCAAGUCUUGGUGUGCUCUGUUCACUUUCAACCGAGGAACUCUUAACAAAAAUACAAGAGUGGGGCUUAGAUGUCACCGAAGCUGAAGCUCAGCGUUUCAGAGACAAUGAGGUUGAUGGUGACACAGUUGACUGCGGUCUUACUGAGACUAUGGUUGCAUACCUUUUCCAAGGAUCCUUCAAAAAGCAGGUUAAAUUCAACCAAUUUGUGUCAAGGAUGAAGGAAUCUUCAGUGACGCUGACUCUACAGACUGUCUCUCCAGAAGACUGGCAACUGUCUACUUCGUCAACUUCAAUAAGCAAUGAAAAUACUUUGAGACUGCCAGCCUCUUUUGAAAUUCCAAGAUUUCCCAAAAAUCUGCAACUAAAACUGGACAACAAAGAACCGUGCCAUAAAAAUCCAAGGGACAGACACACAAUAAUCAGAGUUCUAUAUGAAGCUGUGGCACAGUAUACUAUGUAUCCCACAAAUUCUGAAUAUGUGCAAGCUCUGAAGACGCUGGUAAUGAAGUAUCCUUUCCUCAAGGAUCGUGAGGGAAAUGGUUAUCACACAUGGCAUAUGUCUUUGAGACGUAAAUUCAAAUCAGAGCGGGCACCACUAGUCGACAGUGAGGCAGUGAGGCGUUGUAAGGAGAAGUUUGGUUCUACGAGGAGAGGGCAGCCUAAUAAAUGUCAACGAACAAGUCAGAGAAAUGUUUGUCAGGGACCAUGCGUCCAAGGAGAGGAUUUAUUAUCCAUAGACGCCCACUUAAAGGUCUUACAGUGCCAAUAUCAGAAGAUGCAACCAGAUACCAUGGUGGUUCAUAACCGUAUGCAGCAAACGUUUGCUUGGCGGCAAAAAGAAAUUGCAGAUGGUAUGCCUGUGGAGGAUGUGUUGAAGAAGUACCCCUUCUUAGGGAUGCCUACUGGUCUGUGCAACAAACUCGGGUGGAUCCAACCAACAACGGGUAAUGUAAGCCAGCGAUUUCGUGAAGGGCCCUCAUGUGUUGCAGCAAAGGUGAUUGACCUUACACGAGGGAAAACCCCACUCUACCAGCUCUACCUUGAUGCAAGAGAGGAGGCUCUCACUGAUGACCUACCAGAUCUUGACACAAGGGCUGCACUUUUAUUCCUGCCAUACGUCUUCAAGGAGAAACUGGAUCUCUUUGUCAUACUUGGAGAGGUGUCCAUCCAUCCAUCCUCAUCCUGGGCACAGACUUAUAAUGGGGAGCUGUAUGACUUCUCUAUGAGAGACACGUAG
Oreochromis niloticus (Nile tilapia) is the source of this 1399-nucleotide long non-coding RNA. RefSeq annotates it as sterile alpha motif domain-containing protein 3. The record is from RefSeq and is a predicted model, not a curated record. The transcript has 9 exons. NCBI's taxonomy places the organism in Eukaryota, Metazoa, Chordata, Actinopteri, Cichliformes, Cichlidae.